UGAAUCCAUCGACCGAGUCACUCACGGCAGGAGCGGGGGACCCAGGUAAGCCGCCGGACCGGGCGCGUACGCCCCGUGGUGUACGCCGCAUCGGACCGGCUCGGGGUGAAGCCGUGCCCUCGGGCGCGGCCGGGCACCUCCCCGCCCGAACCCGACAGCUCACCUCGCAGGCGGCGGAGAGGAACA
RNAcentral lists this small RNA (186 nucleotides) under Streptomyces sp. RNAcentral's name for it is "c-di-AMP sequence". It matches the Rfam family "c-di-AMP riboswitch aptamer (ydaO/yuaA leader)". From Rfam's summary of the family: This family represents a conserved RNA structure found upstream of the ydaO and yuaA genes in Bacillus subtilis and related genes in other bacteria. The record is from RNAcentral. RNAcentral also lists the same sequence under 1 other name. Lineage: Bacteria; Bacillati; Actinomycetota; Actinomycetes; Kitasatosporales; Streptomycetaceae.